RNAcentral lists this ribosomal RNA (393 nucleotides) under uncultured bacterium. Its description in RNAcentral is "bacterial SSU rRNA". It matches the Rfam family "Bacterial small subunit ribosomal RNA", at positions 521 to 916 of the family's 1533-position model. The record is from RNAcentral.
UAAUACGAAGGUGGCAAGCGUUGUUCGGAUUUACUGGGCGUACAGGGUGCGUAGGCGGUCUGGUAAGCCCUUCGGGAAAGCCCUCGGCUCAACCGGGGAAGUUCGGAGGGUACUGCCGGGCUAGAGGACGGGAGAGGAGCGCGGAAUUCCCGGUGUAGCGGUGAAAUGCGUAGAGAUCGGGAGGAAGGCCGGUGGCGAAGGCGGCGCUCUGGAACGUUCCUGACGCUGAGGCACGAAAGCGUGGGGAGCAAACAGGAUUAGAUACCCUGGUAGUCCACGCCCUAAACGAUGGACACUAAGUGUCGGCGGGUUACCGCCGGUGCCGCAGCUAACGCAUUAAGUGUCCCGCCUGGGAAGUACGGCCGCAAGGUUGAAACUUAAAGGAAUUGACGG